RNAcentral lists this ribosomal RNA (253 nucleotides) under uncultured bacterium. RNAcentral's name for it is "partial 16S ribosomal RNA". It matches the Rfam family "Bacterial small subunit ribosomal RNA", at positions 524 to 776 of the family's 1533-position model. The record is from RNAcentral.
UACGGAGGGUGCAAGCGUUGUCCGGAUUUAUUGGGUUUAAAGGGUGCGUAGGCGGCAGAUUAAGUCAGCGGUGAAAUUCCACAGCUCAACUGUGGAACUGCCAUUGAUACUGGUUUGCUUGAGUACAGAUGAGGUAGGCGGAAUUGACAGUGUAGCGGUGAAAUGCUUAGAUAUUGUCAAGAACACCUAUUGCGAAGGCGCUUACUAAGCUGUAACUGACGCUGAGGCACGAAAAGCGUGGGGAUCAAACAGG